GUCGAGAGGGAAACAGCCCAGACCAUCAGCUAAGGCCCCUAAGCGGUGACUAAGUGGAAAAGGAUGUGGAGUCGCAUUGACAACCAGGAGGUUGGCUUGGAAGCAGCCACCCUUGAAAGAGUGCGUAAUAGCUCACUGGUCAAGUGAUUCCGCGCCGACAAUGUAGCGGGGCUCAAGCACACCGCCGAAACCGCGGCAUUCACACGUUAGCCUAGCCUUCGUGGUUCAGGUGUGUGGAUGGGUAGGGGAGCGUCGUGUGGCGAGCGAAGCGGCGGGGGGG
Molecule: ribosomal RNA, 280 nt
Filed under: Pycnococcus provasolii
Lineage: Eukaryota; Viridiplantae; Chlorophyta; Pseudoscourfieldiophyceae; Pseudoscourfieldiales; Pycnococcaceae
Description: partial Bacterial large subunit ribosomal RNA
Rfam family: Bacterial large subunit ribosomal RNA
Source: RNAcentral